Molecule: long non-coding RNA, 5749 nt
Organism: Pezoporus flaviventris
Lineage: Eukaryota; Metazoa; Chordata; Aves; Psittaciformes; Psittacidae
Exons: 2
Source: RefSeq, a predicted model, not a curated record
UUGUCAUUCAUUAAAACAAAGCUACCAGUGACAAAUGCAUUCCCAAGGAGAAGGGUCAGACAUUUCCAGAUGAUGAUAGUUUGUCUAGGCCAGUUUCUGGACAUGAACGUUUCUUUUAGCCAACUCUGACACACUUCUUUCAUAUUGAAAUGUAAGUGAUCAUUUUUAGCCUUACCUGGGUCUUACUGCAAAUUUGGUCUUAGUGAUCAAUGGGCUUUUUUCCUCCUGCCUCUCCAAUCUUACAAAAGGAAAAAGAGUUAUGCCAGUCAUAUGCUAUUUGUUAUUCCCGAGUGAUUUAUCACAGAGGACUCGACCCACAGUCUUUGUACGGUACCAAACAAAGCUACAGUGAACUGACUGGGGUGCAACAAAACCUAGUGUGUGUAACGCAUCCUGAGCCACGCUGGCUGUGCACAAUAAGCUGAAUGUCUCUGUGAUGGGAUCUGUACAGUACUGCAUUCUUGUACAGGAAUAUGCAUGAAAGCUUCCGUAGUCAAGCCCAUCCUCUUUAAAUCCAAGUUGCUUGAAAGACCUGACUUUGAGCUCCAUAGGGUGUGAAAGAAAAGGCUAUUCAGAUUUUAUGAUGAGACUGGGUGAAUGCUGGUUUCGUUUGCACCUUCAUGAAUCUGGUUGCUAGGUGGGAAUAAAAAGCAUCAGUCUUUUCAGGCUUUUUACACCAUGGUGCUUUCGACAAACUGAGGAUACAGCCCAACACAGUCUAUAGAAAGCCAGGCUGUCCCAAGUGCUACCCUAGAUAGCAAAACAGGGGACUUGCUUCAUGCCAAGCAGGCUAAGCACCAGAGAGGGUGAAUAAAUGGGUCGGGCACCUUGGGUUGGCCUCAGCUGUGUUUAUAGGAGAAAUAUUUCCAAUUUUCUUUGCAGGGCUAUAUGACCCUGUUAGUCCCACAUGUUGAGCCUGGAUUUGCUGUAACUCAGCAGAGGUUGGUGGCAUCACAGUGAUGUAAAAUUCUCCCUAAAGCAAGAACCAAACUGGGACCAAGUAUGAAUUUUGCUCUAAGGUGGAAGUGAAUCCCUCCCUCAGAAGUGAAUUGGAUGGUUUGUGCUGAGUUUUAGCCUGAUUUCAUAAGAAAGCACUGACUUUGGCAGACGUUUGUUGUUCUCAAACUGUAAACAGACCCUUGUUCCCUGGGCUCAGGAAACUCAGCUUGGAAGUUGUACACAGCUCUCUUCUGAUGCUGUGAUGCCAAACCCCACUCGGUGAAGACCUCUUAAAAAAGAAAUCUCAUUUCUAGCUCUAAAUCUGAAGACACUCCUUAUGGACAGAUAACUCCCACCUCAAGCACAUGCAAUAUGGUGACAACAGCCUUGGAUCAGAUAAUGCUGCUGACCUCUGUGUGCUCAGAACUUAUUGACUAACACUAGGCUAUAGCUGCUGCUUUCUCCUUCAUCAGUUUCCUUCUUAAAUUCCUGGGAUUAAAGGGGAAAAGCCUCAGAAAUAAAUAUGCUGGAUUUCAUCUGAAUUCACCCUAGAGCAUGUGUUAAGCAAGAAUUACUGACUCCAUUUGCCAUGCAUCACUGGGGAAUUUCAGUCUUUCAUUGAGUUUCCCUAUUUUCCACUGAGGAAUGUGAUGGGUGCACCUGCUGCGGGCUGGGCCAGAUCCUGCCAACUCCUGAGACUUCAUCAGAAACUUCCUGACCUGAGAGAUCAGCAGGACUGGGUCUGUUCCUGAUGUUGUCUCGUACUGAAGAUCCUGUUGUUCAAGUUUGAACCAGCUGAACAGAAAAUCUGCAGGUUGGGAAGAAAUAGGGGACUGGGCUCCUGUUGUCUGUUGCACUGAAUGCCUUCCAGAAAAGCUGGAGCUGAACUUCUUAGACAAUUUCUUAAGCAAGUGGAAAAUGAAUGGUAUGCUUGAAUUGCCACUUACAGCUUGAGCAGAGAUCAGAAGGAACUGUUUACUCUUGCCUGGACUUCAUUUCAAUUUUGGAACAUUAGAAGGGCUUUGGAAUAAUGUGCUUCAAAGGAGAUGUUGGAAAUCUGAUCUUGCUAGGGUAAAUGUCACUUUACUUUGCAAUGUAGAAAUACAAGCCACUGGAAGGCUUUUCUAGUCUUAGUUAAAUUCAGAGCUGGUGCAACUUCACAUACACCGAUGACAUUGGUGAUGCCACUUCUUCUCCCCACCCCUGUUCUGAAUUUGGCAUCCAGGCCUGAAGUUUGUUGUGUUAUCAGCUACAAAAGGUGAUCACUGUGAAGUGCUGAACUCAUGGUUUUCCAAGACCAUUGCACAGGGCUGAGGAGCAACCUUGAUGUUGCUUUUGGGCUGUUGGAUGCUGAACUUCAGCACAUUCAUAGGGACCACUUUGCUCCCACAGGAAGAUGUAGGCAACUGUUACUGGCCUCUGUUCAGGCAUAGGGCCAAGGGUGGGCAUUUCUGGAGCAGAAGGAGGGUGUUGAAGAGUGUAUGGUACUUGCCCAUCUUCAUCUGCUCCUUUUGAGCUUGCUCUCAGUCAGGUUGAACAGACCCAUGCACAAGUCCCUGCUACCUUCCCAAACCCCUCAGCACUUACCUUGACAGUAUCAGCCAAUUCCCACUCUGCAAGCCCACGGUGCCAGUCUGCAAAAUUGGAUUAAAGCAUUGAUUUAGAGGAAUGUCCAUGAUUCCCUGUGUGGCUGUCCUGCCUUCCUCCUGCUGUCAUGGAUGCUUCUCUCCCACCUUGAAGAAAAAUGUUGUCUUUUGACUUCAGAGCUUUUCUUCCCUUUCCAGCUUGAAAACACAGCUCCCAUCCACAUUCCCAUUUUGUUUUCAGCACCAGGAUCACCAAACCCUGACUUUUUCUACCUGUCAGAGGUGCGAUGGCCUCUCAGCUCUUGAGAAGGAUUUUAUGGUCUCCAGCUCCACCGUGUUAACCAAAUGCAAUAGCUCUUGAUAGGUCCUGCAGGGUGCAGAACACCUCCUAGAAAUGCAGUGUGUCCUCAGUGACCACUGGAGUCAGUAGAUGGUUACACACCCUGUCCUUAGUGAAGCAUCAACUGAGGCAUGUCCUAGCUGAGAUGGCCUGACCCACACUGCCAGAGGUAUUCAGAUGUCUGGUAGGAUUCACAAAGUUCCUCACUAAGUUGAACACCUAAAACCCAUCAAUAUUUCACUCUGGGUAAACAUCUAAUUUGCCUUAAACUGGGAAGUCACCAUUCGUUGGCUUUAACCUUCAACCUUUAGCGGUCCCCAGUCCUGUGGUGUGGAGCAAACACCAUCUCAGCUCUUUGAAGGCAAACCAGGCACUGCUGGGCUGCCAUAAUCAACAUUUGGUCAUGUAAAAAGCCUCCUUUGCUCUUUUCAGGGCACAGAAUUGGGUUUGGCAGAGCUGCAGAGCCAUCGCAGUGUUUUACAAGCUCAGUACCAUCAGGGCACUUCAGAUACUUUUUGCUUUUCUGGUGCAGUGUGUCUGGAAAUCAGUGAACUUGGACUUGUCUUCCCAUUUCCAAAUUCAAGUGCCAAAAGAGAAGAACAUGCUGCAACUGAAUUCCAUUAAAACCAGCUUUAUUAUAUGUAGAUAAAUAUAGUCUCAAGGGCUCCAUUUUGGUGCUAAGAUAUGUCAACGCUUUAUUUUCCAUUGCUUGGGAUUACAAAGCUGAUUCUUUACUCCAGGAAAUAUUUUCUGUGAUCUGCAACAUCUUAAGCAUUAUGAUUUAUUUCCUUUUUUGUGCCUGUAGAUUUUUUUUACUCAGAUACGCUCAACAAAUACACCAACCCCCAAUCAUGGGAGUUUAGGAGAUGUUUUAUACAGUAUAUUUAUGUAAAAACUCUUUCAAAAUGGGGUUGCAUGUAUAUUUUCCCCUCAGUGAUAUCCUUUAUCACAUCCGCUGACCCAGAACUAAAGGAAUCUGUUACUCAGGAUUGGAUCCAGCAGUAACUGAGGUUAGUGGAAAGGCCCUGACAGAUUCCUUCUCCUAGCAGGCAGAAAUCUAUCUGAAAUCUGCCAAACUUAACAAGAGAGGGCUUGUGUCCUUAGGUGCUCAUGAAAUCCCAAUAAAACAGCAGAAGCAUUUAAUAUUCUCAUUUAUUCUUUGGUACAAUAGUCUAGCAAGAAGUGUAAAUGAUCUUAAUGGCUGCAUUUAGAAUAUUAGCCAGUUAUCAAAGAUGAGAGGUUUACAGCCCAGUAGUCAUUUAAAUGUCAGCUGUGCUGCAGAAGAAGAGUGGUUUUGCAGUGAUUUCAUGCCACGCACUGGAAUUCUCUUGUAGAAGAUGACGCGUGAACAGCACAAAACCAACAUGGGUCAUAGUUUUAAAUUCUCAUGGCCUUUCUCUUGUUUUGGUCUUUCAUGUUAAUUCUUACCCUGAAAAAUGUCUCAUGUUUCUAAUGUAAAACUCCAGCCUCUGUAAUGGCCCAUGACAGAGCACACCAGCAAAAUACAUUAUUAUCCAUCAUCACACUAUAGAUGAGAUGGUUGUUGACAAGUAGUUAGAUCAGGUGAGACAAGGAGAUCUUGCUUCACACCUUCUUGAAGAAGCUGUCUAUGCAUCCUGAAAGGCAGAUGUUCCCCACAGUUCACUGUGGAGGGACAAAUGUUUCCAGUGAUGCUAUUGCUGAAUAGGUCACACAGCCCAAGUAACCUAAUGCAGCAGGUCAGUUGCUGUGUGCUGCCUACCCACAGAUAUUCCUGGUCUUGAUGUCUGCCAAGGAUGUGGGAGAAGGGAGGGAGGGUUUCAGGGAAGGAAGGAGGGCUUGAGAUAUCUUUAUAGGGAAGGGCCUCUCCCAACAGAAUGCACAGCUAUGGUCCAUAAGCAUCAUUCCUGAAGGCUUCUCUUGAGUAUCUUUCAGAGCAAAGAUGGUUUGAAUCCCAAGAGGGCCAGAUGAGAUGAAGGAAAGAAGCUGGCAAUACGCUUGAGAGAUACAAUGCUGAAAGGUUUGUAUUUUGUUUCCCUGGUGGAGAUACAGAGAUUUAGCUCAGGUGGGUCUAUACUUGGCUGAACAGUAGGGAAAAUAAGUCUUUUCCUUGUAUCAAACUCCUGUGAAUUUUCUGGCUUUGGAGGGGCUGAAGAACCUCCUCUUGCACCUUUCAGACCUCCAUAGGAAAUGUCAGGGGGUAAAACCUGAGCUCUCUCCCAUAGAAAAAAUGACAUUGUUCUGAGUUCAGGUUGUAGGUCUACAAAACACUCUGUGUUCUGAUGUGACAGGAAGAAAACGAUCAUCCCCAAGUCACCCCACCUGCUUGUUGUUGCUCAGUCUCAUGGGAGAUUAUGGACCUUAUAUCUGCUUAUAAAUUAGUGCAUCAAAUUGCCCAAUCUCAGUUCCACCAAACCUUGAACAGGAUGUACCAUGUGGGGACAAGGCAAUCACUUAAACCCUUCUGUCUCUUAUGAACAACAGAAAUUAGCUCCGCAUAACCAGCAGUUAUGGUCCAUUCGUGGUGAUGCACGUUGGAAACCUUUGAAUUGAUUGCAUUCCAGUUUGUACUGAAGAUUUUCUUCAAACUCUGUGUAUAUAAUCCCUUUGGUGUGUUACAAAUAUGUAUGUGUGUAUAUAUAUGUAUAUAUGUGUGUGUGUAUAUGUACGUGUAUAUAUAUACAUAUAAAUCAAUCAAUGCUGGUGUUUUUACUUUUUGAAGUUCACAGGGCAAAGGGCAUGUUGUUAGUUUGCUGUAAGAUUCUAUUCUGUAUAUAUGUUUUCAUGUAAAUAAAUGAAAAUCUAUAUUCAGAGUUAUAUUUUAAUUUUUAUUCAAAAUGAAAUAAAUCCCCUUUUUACUUCAAACAAUUGUAAGCCACAUUGUUAAUAAAGUAACAAUAAGUCA